RNAcentral lists this unclassified non-coding RNA (1471 nucleotides) under Hevea brasiliensis (rubber tree). The record is from RNAcentral. Lineage: Eukaryota; Viridiplantae; Streptophyta; Magnoliopsida; Malpighiales; Euphorbiaceae.
AAAUAGCCUUUUCCCAUCAGAACUGUAGGCCAUUGUGGUGCAUGAGUGACCAGGAGCAUCAUAAUCAACCCUGGAUCCCAUUGAAUCAUAUAACCAUGCCUUUAUUUUUCCAUCCACUGAUGUUGAAAAGAUAAAAUGAACGUUUUCCCUAGAGUGAGGGCAUAUAGAAUGUACAGAAGCAUCAUGACCUUCAAAUGUAUACAGUUUUGCACCAGUAGCCACAUCCCAAACCUUGAUGGUCUUGUCAUCACCACAAGUAAUAACAGAGAGUUGCUUGUUGGGGUUGCAGAAUGCUAGAUCAUUUACACUUCCAAUAUGAGCAUCAAUCUCCAAAUGAUGCCUGAUAUCUUGUCCACCGUAAUAGGUGUAUAACUGUACCAUAUGUUUGGAAUGUGCAACUCCAAAUAAAGAACCAUCAGGACUCCAUAAUAUGCGUUUAACAGCAACACAUGGAUCUUUGAUUAUAGAUGCCUUCAGUAUCAUUGAACUUGCUCCAAUAUCCCAUACCUGAAAAUUUUUGGAGACCAACUUCUCCCUAGAACUAACUUCCCACAAGCUAAUGUCCCCAAUACCAGUUCCAACAAGAAGUAGAGUUUGCUGAAUAGGAUGAAAGUCCAUGCUUGUGGGAACAGAACCCUGAUUUAAUGUACGCGCCACAGUCUUGGGCAAGUCAUCAAUUAUAUUAAAAGCCAAGACAUGAUGAUUUUGACCAGAAUUAUUUCCUGGCAACAUUACCCUAUCUUGAGCUCCAGAUAUCCUUGGUCUAGAAGCAUCAGAAUCGCCGUGACCCUUUGACAUUGCAGCCAUACCUGCAUUUAGGCUGCUGAAACUUAAUCCACCUCUAGAAACUACUGGAUGAGUUGCAGUUGAGGGAUUAGACAUCCAUGUGGUCAGAGGAGUCUGUACUGGUACUGAUGCUGAUGUAGGUUGGAAUGGCCCAUUUGCAACUAUUGGAAGGAAACCUUCGGUUUUUGGAGCAGAACCUACGAAUUGAUGAUUGCUUGCAGCGAAAUGGGCAUAUGCAUCAUUGGAAUUUCUACAAUUGUGGUCCACAAAGAGAGUUCUUAUAUCAGGAUUUUGCCUUGUAUUUCCACAAAGGGAAUGCUGCCAAUUCAAGCUUUGGUUGAUAAGCAUGCGCAACCUUGAGCCUUUUAUGUUAGGAAGUUGCAAUUUAUCACGGAAAAGUGGAUUGGCCUCAAUAAGCUUCUUGAGCUCAAUCAGCAUAAUUGUUCUUGCUGUCUUUGUGUCCCUAUAACUGGAGAGUUGAUCAUUUUCCCGGAAAUUAUCCAAUGUGAGGAGUUGAGUAAUUUCCUUGAAUAAGUCUUCAUUGAAAGAGGAAAACACCUUCAAAUCCUUUGCUAGGAUAUCUACAGCCUUGGCUCGAUCAUGCUUAUCCAAUGCCUCGAGAUACUUUUGCUUGCGGAUUUCGAAAAAAAUCUUCAUAGAGUAGCGGUUAUCAUCCACUCUAGUA